Long non-coding RNA from Cygnus olor (mute swan), 572 nucleotides. RefSeq lists it as uncharacterized. The record is from RefSeq and is a predicted model, not a curated record. Lineage: Eukaryota; Metazoa; Chordata; Aves; Anseriformes; Anatidae. The transcript is spliced from 2 exons.
AGCAGCACAGGGAGGAUGGAGAAGCUGGAAAUGCUCCCCCAACCCCAGCCCCGUCCCAGGCUGGUUACUCUCCUCCCCGAGCCCAUCAUCACAGUGGUGUUGGAAACUUCAGCAACGAGAAACCAAAGUGACGUUCAAAGGCUCUGAUUAACUGAAUGGCUCAGCUUCCUCCAGGCUGCUCCCAGGAGGCAGGCCCACAUUGGCAGAGCCUCCCCAGCAUCCUCCAACAGAAGGUCACCUCCUGCCUGCCCCCUCAGCAGCAUCUCUGAGGGCACCAGGAGUCCUUGCUGCCAGCUCGGCUCUGUGGUUAGCGCACAUAGCAAGGUCAGGCAGCAGGUGAGUGUUUCUCACUCCUCAGGCUGCUUCAGAGUUGCCAGCAGGAUUUGUGCAGUGGUUUGACUGCAGCCUCCCCACUGGUGUCAAGAGAGAAGCCAGCCAAGUGUUUAGCCUGCCCAGUUGUCAGGUGGUGCCUGCUUCUCACGUCUUGGUGCUCCUGCUCCACUAUAUGGUAGAGACUAAUGCCCAGAGCUACCCUAUCCAAACAGAGCUUCAAGGCAGAUAUUUCUUCUGGA